Macadamia integrifolia is the source of this 818-nucleotide long non-coding RNA. RefSeq lists it as uncharacterized. The record is from RefSeq and is a predicted model, not a curated record. The transcript is spliced from 3 exons. NCBI's taxonomy places the organism in Eukaryota, Viridiplantae, Streptophyta, Magnoliopsida, Proteales, Proteaceae.
UCUGGAGCUUAGGCAUCCUGAUAGUCUCCCCUUUGCUGCUUCCUCGAGGUAGGGGGAUAAUCAGCUGUCAAAGGGUCGGUCCGUCAUCCCUGAGGGGUCAUCUGCCUGUGCCAUGCUGAAUGGCAUGACUCUAAUAUGUCUUUCUUGCUUUUCUUCUUUUAAUUGUCUUACUUUAUCUUCUACUUACCAAUCCUCUGGACCAUAGAGCUGACCCAGGCCUAGUAUCUGGGGGAGAGAUUGACUGGGCAGUGGCCGGGAUCCUAGUGGUGCAGUGCUCCCUAUUUGCCUCCUCUUACCACGCACUGUGCUAAAGAUGUUCCAGAGGGGGAGGCGAAGCUGGCUAUGGAGGGACUGUGGGACGAUGAAUUCCUCGAUCUUGAAGAGAUUAUCGAGCCUUUCUUGAGGCCAAGACAGUCUGUGUACCCUUGACUCCCUUGGGUCCGGAGGUGUUGCCGCGGACUCUGGACCAUGACAUGGACCUCAGCCUUCCUAUACACUUUGACUAUGUAUCUUCCGAGGCCUAUGCUGAUAUCCGUCGGAUGCACCACAACUUGUAUAAGCAGCUGUAUCAGGAGACGAAGAAGACCUUGGCUCAGAAACUUCAUUCCGCAUUUGUUGUAUGCAUUUUAUCUUGAUAUGAGCAUUGAUUCAAUCUUAUGUACCCUAGGAGGCGGAGAUUUCUGAUCUUCAGCAGAGUUUGUGGGCCCUUCGGAUUUAGUUUGGUGUGGAGGUGGCCAGGGACGUGAUGAUCUCCACGGAUGAGCUCAGCUCCUCAGAUGACGAUGUCCAAUCUUAGAGCUUUUUCCUUUUUUUUUUUC